Molecule: long non-coding RNA, 569 nt
Filed under: Prunus persica (peach)
Lineage: Eukaryota; Viridiplantae; Streptophyta; Magnoliopsida; Rosales; Rosaceae
Description: long non-coding RNA (PPER_LNC002858)
Source: RNAcentral
GAAUAGUUAAUCACACUUGUCUCAUAUCUUCUACUGAAGUAGACUGAUGAAGUGGUAAAAAUGGUAAAAUACUUGGCUGCCAAAAAAUUACUGUUUUUAUUUUUAUUUUUAUUUUUAUUUUAUUUUUCAUUUCCUGUUAAAUUAAUAAGACUUUAUAUUUUAUUUUAUUUUUCUUUUUAAAUUUUGAAAAGACUUGCUUUGCAAGAAAUUAGCGUAGACAAAUUAAGUGAUGAGAUUGGAAGGUGAGCAUAUCUCGGUAGUGGGAACAAAUAGGCAGAAAAAACCCAGAGACGUACAAAACCCCAAUUAUAAAUGGCGGCGAAUUCUAAGUUGCCCGCCACGUUACUCCAGCUGUGAAAAAGUAAAUUAUUUUUUUAAAGUGGGUUAAAACUAAAAAAACACUAAAAUCACUCAACAAGCCAGCACAACUUGAACUGUUACCAUUGCAACGGAUUACAAAGUGACAACUAUACCCUCGCAUGCUUACCUUAUUUACCCACGAGCGGAAAAGAGUAAGUAAGUAAAUUAAGCAACUGAACUCUUUUAAGCGGUCAAACAAUUUGACCGAC